ACAUGCAGUCGAGCGGACAGAAGGGAGCUUGCUCCCGGAUGUUAGCGGCGGACGGGUGAGUAACACGUGGGUAACCUGCCUGUAAGACUGGGAUAACUCCGGGAAACCGGAGCUAAUACCGGAUAGUUCCUUGAACCGCAUGGUUCAAGGAUGAAAGACGGUUUCGGCUGUCACUUACAGAUGGACCCGCGGCGCAUUAGCUAGUUGGUGAGGUAACGGCUCACCAAGGCGACGAUGCGUAGCCGACCUGAGAGGGUGAUCGGCCACACUGGGACUGAGACACGGCCCAGACUCCUACGGGAGGCAGCAGUAGGGAAUCUUCCGCAAUGGACGAAAGUCUGACGGAGCAACGCCGCGUGAGUGAUGAAGGUUUUCGGAUCGUAAAGCUCUGUUGUUAGGGAAGAACAAGUGCAAGAGUAACUGCUUGCACCUUGACGGUACCUAACCAGAAAGCCACGGCUAACUACGUGCCAGCAGCCGCGGUAAUACGUAGGUGGCAAGCGUUGUCCGGAAUUAUUGGGCGUAAAGGGCUCGCAGGCGGUUUCUUAAGUCUGAUGUGAAAGCCCCCGGCUCAACCGGGGAGGGUCAUUGGAAACUGGGAAACUUGAGUGCAGAAGAGGAGAGUGGAAUUCCACGUGUAGCGGUGAAAUGCGUAGAGAUGUGGAGGAACACCAGUGGCGAAGGCGACUCUCUGGUCUGUAACUGACGCUGAGGAGCGUUGUUGCGGUCC
This 730-nucleotide ribosomal RNA is filed under the name Bacillus pumilus. RNAcentral describes it as "bacterial SSU rRNA". It matches the Rfam family "Bacterial small subunit ribosomal RNA", at positions 53 to 767 of the family's 1533-position model. The record is from RNAcentral. Lineage: Bacteria; Bacillati; Bacillota; Bacilli; Caryophanales; Bacillaceae.